RNAcentral lists this ribosomal RNA (440 nucleotides) under uncultured bacterium. RNAcentral's name for it is "partial 16S ribosomal RNA". It matches the Rfam family "Bacterial small subunit ribosomal RNA", at positions 338 to 795 of the family's 1533-position model. The record is from RNAcentral.
CCUACGGGAGGCAGCAGUGGGGGAUAUUGCACAAUGGGGGGAACCCUGAUGCAGCGACGCCGCGUGGGUGAAGAAGCGCCUCGGCGCGUAAAGCCCUGUCAGCAGGGAAGCAAAUGACGGUACUUGAAGAAGAAGCCCCGGCUAAAUACGUGCCAGCAGCCGCGGGAAUACGUAGGGGGCCAGCGUUAUCCGGAUUUACUGGGUGUAAAGGGGGCGCAGACGGCGAUGCAAGCCAGGAGUGAAAGCCCGGGGCCGAACCCCGGGACUGCUCUUGGAACUGCGUGGCUGGAGUGCAGGAGGGGCAGGCGGAAUGCCUGGUGUAGCGGUGAAAUGCGUAGAUAUCAGGAGGAACACCGGUGGCGAAGGCGGCCUGCUGGACUGCAACUGACGUUGAGGCCCGAAAGCGUGGGGAGCAAACAGGAUUAGAUACCCGUGUAGUC